GAACAUAACAGGUCUUUUUUUAUUUAUUUAAAAUGCAAUUUGCAUUAAAAGCCCAAAAGGGCAAAGACUAACUUUUCACUUGGGCUAACAAUAAACUGAAAAGAAAGGGAAGCCCACUCUGAGAAGGAGAAAACCAACCCAGUUAACCAAAUCAACCCAACCCAAACCAUGCAAACCCACACCCACUAAACAAACCCACCUCCCAUCUUCAAACCCUAGGAUUAUUUAAAGAACACUAACGAAGAGUCCGUCGAUCAUCACAAGAGAUCCACCAAAGGUCGCCCCCAUGAACACGGAACUUAGAUCGCCAUCAAAUGCAAGGAGCUAAUGCCCAUCUAAGCACAACAUCCAACUUAACAGAGAAAAGCCUUCCCACUUCUCAAUAGUGACAGCUCUACCAUCAACGGAGGGGUGCUGUCGUAGAGCUCCUUGACACUCUAAGCCAACAGGAUGACCUUUCCAGCCCUGGUGUAGAAGUAGAUCCCGGAGUUACGAACCAGCUGAAGAAAAUGAAGCCUCUUUUGACACAUGGAAUGCAUACCCAAACUGAGAUGGUGGCAAAGAUCCAUCAAACAGGAAUAAAGUCUUCCUCCUGAGAACCUUCUGCCAUCCCCUCUCUACCCCAGCUCUUUCUAAACGAGCAAAGAAAUAGGUCUACUAAUAUGCUCUCUCCCUGAAAAUCCAACCUGCAAGUAAAACCAUAUCCAUAUACAACCCAGACCCAGCUAAGGGAGGACUAUCCUCAAGGCCAAGCUAGGAAACAAAACAACUAUGGCCUUCCCCUGCCCGAAGGCAGAGGAAGCUAACGAGGAGAAGAUGGAAAAACUAAAAAUUAGUUUUCUUUUUUCUCUCGGCGAAACCGAGAGAACU
Molecule: unclassified non-coding RNA, 870 nt
Filed under: Hevea brasiliensis (rubber tree)
Lineage: Eukaryota; Viridiplantae; Streptophyta; Magnoliopsida; Malpighiales; Euphorbiaceae
Source: RNAcentral